GCCUGGGUGGCUCAGUUGGUUAAGCAUCUGACUCUUGAUUUUGGCUCAGGUUAGGAACUCGCGGUUUGUGGGUUCGAGCCCCACAUCAGGCU
Molecule: transfer RNA, 92 nt
Filed under: Felis catus (domestic cat)
Lineage: Eukaryota; Metazoa; Chordata; Mammalia; Carnivora; Felidae
Rfam family: tRNA
About the family: Transfer RNA (tRNA) molecules are approximately 80 nucleotides in length. Their secondary structure includes four short double-helical elements and three loops (D, anti-codon, and T loops). Further hydrogen bonds mediate the characteristic L-shaped molecular structure. tRNAs have two regions of fundamental functional importance: the anti-codon, which is responsible for specific mRNA codon recognition, and the 3' end, to which the tRNAs corresponding amino acid is attached (by aminoacyl-tRNA synthetases). tRNAs cope with the degeneracy of the genetic code in two manners: having more than one tRNA (with a specific anti-codon) for a particular amino acid; and 'wobble' base-pairing, i.e. permitting non-standard base-pairing at the 3rd anti-codon position.
Source: Rfam by way of RNAcentral